AUCUAGCUGAAGAGUCCCUAAACACGACGAAACACGCGUCCUGAAU
This 46-nucleotide non-coding RNA is filed under the name Schistosoma margrebowiei. Lineage: Eukaryota; Metazoa; Platyhelminthes; Trematoda; Strigeidida; Schistosomatidae. The record is from RNAcentral.